RNAcentral lists this transfer RNA (77 nucleotides) under Promethearchaeati archaeon. RNAcentral's name for it is "Asgard group archaeon (marine sediment metagenome) tRNA-Asp". It matches the Rfam family "tRNA". Rfam says of the family: Transfer RNA (tRNA) molecules are approximately 80 nucleotides in length. Their secondary structure includes four short double-helical elements and three loops (D, anti-codon, and T loops). Further hydrogen bonds mediate the characteristic L-shaped molecular structure. tRNAs have two regions of fundamental functional importance: the anti-codon, which is responsible for specific mRNA codon recognition, and the 3' end, to which the tRNAs corresponding amino acid is attached (by aminoacyl-tRNA synthetases). tRNAs cope with the degeneracy of the genetic code in two manners: having more than one tRNA (with a specific anti-codon) for a particular amino acid; and 'wobble' base-pairing, i.e. permitting non-standard base-pairing at the 3rd anti-codon position. Lineage: Archaea; Promethearchaeati. The record is from RNAcentral.
GGGACAGUAGUCAAACCUGGUUACGAUACUAGACUGUCACUUUAGUGGUUCGGGUUCAAAUCCCGACUGUCUCGCCA